GACCGGACAUAAAACCGGCAAGAUAUUCGGGUCACGGUUCGACCGGUUCAACCGGGUUCAACCCGGGUUUUUUAUUUAUUUUUUAUUUUCAUUUAUUUAUUAGUUUUAUUAAUUUAACAAUACUAUUUUCUCUAUAUUUUGCCUAUAUUACAUUCAACCUCUGUUCACCUCCCUUCAUAUUUUUUUAUUUAAUUUACUAAUUUCAUUUUUUAUUGUUUUAAAUUCCAUCAUUAAAAAAUAAUAAAAAAAAUCCACUUGUCUUUUUCUUCUUCUUCUCUCUUCACUCUCACCCACUCUCUUACCCAUUUCCUUUCUCUCUCUUCAAAAUUUACAGACGGUCCAGUACCCCUCUCUCUCUCUCCCUCUUCCCUUCUAUUCUCUCCCUUUUCUUCUUAUUCUAUUAUCUACGUAUUCAAACACCAUAUUUUCUACACUUUUAGCCAAAUCCGAUUUCCGACGACUCUCAUUUCUCCGAUCUGCCAAAAUCUAGCGGUUAUCGACCUUCGCCGCCUAGAUCUGGCCAUCUUGGACCACCACCGCACCUUUUUCGAAAAAAACCGGGGUCAUCCACCGGUUUCCGGUUUACUCCGGUUUUCCGGUCGAACCGGAUUUUUGCACAACAACCCCGGUUUUCG
This 635-nucleotide long non-coding RNA is filed under the name Erythranthe guttata (spotted monkey flower). RNAcentral's name for it is "long non-coding RNA (EGUT_LNC002464)". Lineage: Eukaryota; Viridiplantae; Streptophyta; Magnoliopsida; Lamiales; Phrymaceae. The record is from RNAcentral.